UGCUUCCACUGGACGUGUUUUACCUUGUGUAAGACCUUUGGCUUGUGUGAAUAACCCAAGUCAGGGAGUUGCCAGUGGCAAGACCAUCUACCAAAACUUGAUCAAAAUACUACUGUCUGAAUCUUUUGCUUCAAUGAAAUAAAACUUUCAACAACGGAUCUCUAGGCUCUUGCAUCGAUGAAGAACGCAGUGAAAUGCGAUAAGUAAUGUGAAUUGCAGAAUCUCGUGAAUCAUCGAAUCUUUGAACGCACAUUGCGCCCUAUGGUAUUCCGUAGGGCAUGCCUGUCUGAGCGUCAGCUCCCCCCCACUCAAGUAUCUUUACUUUUUUGAUUCUUGGAAUGAUUUGGAGAGGUGUCUUGUCAUGUAGACGCCCUCCAGAAAUUCAUAGGCAGUAUGGUUUGCACCUGAACCAGACGUAAUAAUAAUAAAAUCGUUUGUUUGGGUAUGAUUGUGCUUGCCUUAACCCACCCAUUUCUUUGUUUGGGUGACCUCAGAUCAGGUAGGGAUACCCGCUGAACUUAAGCAUAUCAAU
This 532-nucleotide ribosomal RNA is filed under the name uncultured Peziza. RNAcentral describes it as "eukaryotic LSU rRNA". The stretch from base 143 to 296 matches the Rfam family "5.8S ribosomal RNA". Lineage: Eukaryota; Fungi; Ascomycota; Pezizomycetes; Pezizales; Pezizaceae. The record is from RNAcentral.